AGUGAACGCUGGCGGUAGGCCUAACACAUGCAAGUCGAACGGCAGCACAGUAAGAGCUUGCUCUUACGGGUGGCGAGUGGCGGACGGGUGAGGAAUACAUCGGAAUCUACUUUUUCGUGGGGGAUAACGUAGGGAAACUUACGCUAAUACCGCAUACGACCUACGGGUGAAAGCAGGGGAUCUUCGGACCUUGCGCGAUUGAAUGAGCCGAUGUCGGAUUAGCUAGUUGGGGGGGUAAAGGCCCACCAAGGCGACGAUCCGUAGCUGGUCUGAGAGGAUGAUCAGCCACACUGGAACUGAGACACGGUCCAGACUCCUACGGGAGGCAGCAGUGGGGAAUAUUGGACAAUGGGCGCAAGCCUGAUCCAGCCAUACCGCGUGGGUGAUGAAGGCCUUCGGGUUGUAAAGCCCUUUUGUUGGGAAAGAAAAGCAGCAUGUUAAUACCCCGCUGUUCUGACGGUACCCAAAGAAUAAGCACCGGCUAACUUCGUG
RNAcentral lists this ribosomal RNA (492 nucleotides) under uncultured bacterium. RNAcentral's name for it is "partial 16S ribosomal RNA". It matches the Rfam family "Bacterial small subunit ribosomal RNA", at positions 29 to 507 of the family's 1533-position model. The record is from RNAcentral.